CAGGUCACUCCUACGGGAGGCAGCAGUGGGGAAUAUUGGACAAUGGGGGCAACCCUGAUCCAGCAAUGCCGCGUGAGUGAUGAAGGCCUUAGGGUUGUAAAGCUCUUUUGCCAGGGACGAUGAUGACGGUACCUGGAGAAUAAGCCCCGGCUAACUUCGUGCCAGCAGCCGCGGUAAUACGAAGGGGGCUAGCGUUGUUCGGAAUUACUGGGCGUAAAGGGCGCGUAGGCGGUCUGAUAAGUUAGAUGUGAAAUUCCCGGGCUUAACCUGGGGGCUGCAUUUGAUACUGUCAGGCUUGAAUCCAGGAGAGGAUAGUGGAAUUCCCAGUGUAGAGGUGAAAUUCGUAGAUAUUGGGAAGAACACCAGUGGCGAAGGCGGCUAUCUGGACUGGCAUUGACGCUGAGGCGCGAAAGCGUGGGGAGCAAACAGGAUUAGAUACCCUGGUAGUCCACGCCGUAAACGAUGAACGCUAGACGCUGGUAGGUUUACCUAUCGGUGUUGCAGCUAACGCAUUAAGCAUUCCGCCAGGGGAGUACGGUCGCAAGAUUAAAACUUAAAGGAAUUGACG
RNAcentral lists this ribosomal RNA (568 nucleotides) under uncultured Dongia sp. Its description in RNAcentral is "bacterial SSU rRNA". It matches the Rfam family "Bacterial small subunit ribosomal RNA", at positions 329 to 915 of the family's 1533-position model. Lineage: Bacteria; Pseudomonadati; Pseudomonadota; Alphaproteobacteria; Rhodospirillales; Dongiaceae. The record is from RNAcentral.